AGCUCCAAUAGCGUAUAUUAAAGUUGUUGCAGUUAAAAAGCUCGUAGUUGGAUUUCUGAAUUGGACCCAUCUGUCCUUGUCGGCUUGUCUGACUCGAGUACGUGGGUGGGUCGGUUCAUUUUUUGUGAGGAUGCUUGGCUGGCAUUAAGUUGUUGGCCUUGUGGACUUGCAUCGUUUACUGUGAAAAAAUUAGAGUGUUUAAAGCAGGCGUUUGCUUCUGAAUACAUUAGCAUGGAAUAAUAAAAUACGACUUUGGUGGUAUUUUGUUGGUUUGCACACCAGAGUAAUGAUUAAUAGGGACAGUUGGGGGUAUUCAUAUUUCAGCGUCAGAGGUGAAAUUCUUGGAUCGCUGAAAGAUGAGCUUCGGCGAAAGCAUUUACCAAGGAUGUUUUCA
RNAcentral lists this ribosomal RNA (394 nucleotides) under uncultured eukaryote. RNAcentral describes it as "SSU rRNA". It matches the Rfam family "Eukaryotic small subunit ribosomal RNA", at positions 587 to 972 of the family's 1831-position model. The record is from RNAcentral.